UGGGGAAUUUUGGACAAUGGGCGAAAGCCUGAUCCAGCAAUGCCGCAUGUGUGAAGAAGGCCUUCGGGUUGUAAAGCACUUUUGUCCGGAAAGAAAUCCUUGGCUCUAAUACAGUCGGGGGAUGACGGUACCGGAAGAAUAAGCACCGGCUAACUACGUGCCAGCAGCCGCGGUAAUACGUAGGGUGCAAGCGUUAAUCGGAAUUACUGGGCGUAAAGCGUGCGCAGGCGGUUUGCUAAGACCGAUGUGAAAUCCCCGGGCUCAACCUGGGAACUGCAUUGGUGACUGGCAGGCUAGAGUAUGGCAGAGGGGGGUAGAAUUCCACGUGUAGCAGUGAAAUGCGUAGAGAUGUGGAGGAAUACCGAUGGCGAAGGCAGCCCCUGGGCCAAUACUGACGCUCAUGCACGAAAGCGUGGGGAGCAAACAGGAUUAGAUACCCUGGUAGUCCAGCGCCCUAAACGAUGUCAACUAGUUGUUGGGGAUUCAUUUCCUUAGUAACGUAGCUAACGCGUGAAGUUGACCGCCUGGGGAGUACGGUCGCAAGAUUAAAACUCAAAGGAAUUGACGGGG
Molecule: ribosomal RNA, 570 nt
Filed under: uncultured bacterium
Lineage: Bacteria
Description: partial 16S ribosomal RNA
Rfam family: Bacterial small subunit ribosomal RNA
Source: RNAcentral